UGACAAGUGUUAGUGCCAGUGUCAUGGUC
This 29-nucleotide non-coding RNA is filed under the name Mus musculus (house mouse). Lineage: Eukaryota; Metazoa; Chordata; Mammalia; Rodentia; Muridae. The record is from RNAcentral.